Long non-coding RNA from Podarcis muralis (Common wall lizard), 306 nucleotides. RefSeq lists it as uncharacterized. NCBI's taxonomy places the organism in Eukaryota, Metazoa, Chordata, Lepidosauria, Squamata, Lacertidae. The record is from RefSeq and is a predicted model, not a curated record.
AGAGACGUUUGCAUUCAGCGAAGUGGCCGAGGAGCCAGGGCUUGAUUGGUCGGUCGCCGCAGUAGAGGAGUGGCGGAGGGUCAAGGAGAGGAGCUCAAGGCGGCGUACAUGAUUCUCCCACUCCUCAGUUACUCCUGACAACAACCCUGUGAGAAUUCAACCGCCGAGAACGUGCUCUUUUCAGCAAGAAAUGCAGGGAAUGCAAUGCUGCAGAAUCCGUCUCCUGUCAGCUCCUUCUCAGAAUCAGCUGUUAAACAGACGACAUGCUCCAAAAAAGAAACAGGCUGCCUGAAGCAGCUUUAUUCC